Molecule: ribosomal RNA, 292 nt
Filed under: uncultured bacterium
Lineage: Bacteria
Description: partial 16S ribosomal RNA
Rfam family: Bacterial small subunit ribosomal RNA
Source: RNAcentral
GUGUCAGCAGCCGCGGUAAUACAGAGGGUGCGAGCGUUAAUCGGAAUUAUUGGGCGUAAAGCGCAUGUAGGUGGCUAUAUAAGUUUGAUGUGAAAGCCCUGGGCUUAACCUGGGAAUUGCGUUGAAUACUGUAUAGCUUGAGUCGGACAGAGGGCGGUGGAAUUUCCGGUGUAGCGGUGAAAUGCGUAGAGAUCGGAAAGAACAUCGGUGGCGAAGGCGGCCGCCUGGGUCCAGACUGACACUGAGGUGCGAAAGCGUGGGGAGCAAACAGGAUUAGAUACCCUUGUAGUCC